Molecule: long non-coding RNA, 1726 nt
Organism: Bos taurus (domestic cattle)
Lineage: Eukaryota; Metazoa; Chordata; Mammalia; Artiodactyla; Bovidae
Source: Ensembl
GACAACAGAGAGGAGAAAAAUAUAAAAUCACGGAGAAGAAGCCAAACCCAUGAAAAUCUACAAAUGGGUGGAUAGCCUUUGAAUAAGGAGCUGCAUCAUCUGCUCAUUACAUGUGUUCAAAGUUGCACCGGUUCUGAAAAAGAAAAGGACAGAGUCGUCCCAGCACUUGCCAGAGGGAAAGCGAAAAACCUUUUACAAAACAAGGCUAGAUCCCUGCCAUGCGGCUGUGUCCACAGAAACUCCCAUACAGAUCCCUGUGGGAGGCCCUUCUCCCUGCACUGCCACUUCCCAAAGCCAGAUUCCUGCUUCGAGGACCCUGAGAAUAGAAAGGGGAUUCACAGAACCUGGGGAUGGGGACGCGGGGAAAGUCCCCGGAGUGGCCUGCAGACUUGGGGCCUUCCUGGCAGCACAGAUAUCUCUAUUCCGAGAGCCAAGAGGUCUGGAAUCUAGAGAAAUGAAUCCCUUGAGGACUAUAAUGAAUGCCGUGCUCCAGCAGAGUCGGCUCGGUUCAGCAGCUUGAUUAAUGACACGUGAGAGGACUCGAGGCAAAUGUAAUGGGAGAGCAAACCUUUGCAGGGUGCCUGCCCUGGAUAAGAUCCGGCGCCUCACACCCACCGAGGAAACCGCAGAGGGGCUUAGGAGAAACUCCUCCUGGAGCUGUGGGCCAAGGGCAAGGAUCUGCCCUGGUCUGAGCUUCUGAGCCCUGAGUGCCUGCAUGCCCUGAGAGCCAGCCAAGAGGAGGAAGGCCUCCAUCUGCUCCUACCCAAGUCUCUGCUCCAGCGAGGGGGUCCCUCAGCUGCCAGGCUGGUCCUGCCCGCCUAUUGGCUGACACAUUUUUCAAAGCUGUUCUCAAAGGCUUUGAUGAACCGGCUGUUGCUGGGCAGCAGCUGAAGUCAUUUGCCCUGGAAAAUGGAAGGAAGCAGGUGUAACCGCUCACCCCAACCCGACCCUCAAAAACACCCUCCCCACACACACUCUACAAAUCAUCGCGUCACUUUGUCCCUGUGUAUUUUAAUAAGCACACUAAUCUCUGACCCCUUAGCAUUUCUGCCCUAAAAUGAAACCAAGAGCAUCACUCUUCGGCUUCCCCUUUGAGAGAAAGAGGUGCCAGUCCCGGGCAAUAUUCUAGCCAAGACCCGAGGUCCCUCUUCAGGUGAAGUCUGCCUACAGAAGAUGCAAGAUGCCUCUCUCACCCUCUAAGUUCCGUGUGUGUAUGUACGUUUGGUCACUCAGUCAUGUCCAGCUCCUUAGAACCACAUGAACUGUAGCCCACCAGGCUCCUCUGUCCAUGGGAUUCUCCAAGCAAGCAUACUGGAGUGGGCAGCCAUUCCUUUUUCCAGGGGAUCUUCCCGACCCAGGGGUCAAACCCAUGUCUUCUUCAUUGGAGGCAGAUUCUUUGCCAUCUGAGCCACCAGCCUCCAUAAAACAGCAGCAUUCCUGGAUCCAGAAGUGUCUCAGGAAGACUGAAUACUUUUUAUUCGGUUUCUCAUUUUAUCAAGUACGAAAAAACUGAAAUAGCACUUCACCUAAAAAUUCAUGAAAUCUCUAAUUUUUGUUAACUGAUGUAAUUUUGUGUUUGAAAGUACUUUGAAUUGAAAUUUUAUCACUUGAAAGGGCUCUUUUCCACUCAUCCUCUUUGAUCACCACAACAAUCCAGUAAGUUAAGCAAAUAACUUGGAGGAAAUUGAGACAUCAGAAGAAAACGAAAUUAUCUAAGAAUUUAUUG